UACGGAGGGUGCAAGCGUUAUCCGGAUUUAUUGGGUUUAAAGGGUGCGUAGGCGGUAGAGUAAGUCAGUGGUGAAAGCCUGUUGCCUAACAACAGAACUGCCAUUGAUACUGCUUUGCUUGAGUAUAGAUGAGGUAGGCGGAAUUAAUAGUGUAGCGGUGAAAUGCUUAGAUAUUAUUAAGAACUCCGAUAGCGAAGGCAGCUUACUAAACUAUAACUGACGCUGAGGCACGAAAGUGUGGGGAUCAAACAGG
RNAcentral lists this ribosomal RNA (253 nucleotides) under uncultured bacterium. Its description in RNAcentral is "partial 16S ribosomal RNA". It matches the Rfam family "Bacterial small subunit ribosomal RNA", at positions 524 to 776 of the family's 1533-position model. The record is from RNAcentral.